Molecule: ribosomal RNA, 468 nt
Filed under: uncultured bacterium
Lineage: Bacteria
Description: partial 16S ribosomal RNA
Rfam family: Bacterial small subunit ribosomal RNA
Source: RNAcentral
GACGAACGCUGGCGGCGUGCUUAACACAUGCAAGUCGAACGGAAAGGCCCUGCUUUUGUGGGGUGCUCGAGUGGCGAACGGGUGAGUAACACGUGAGUAACCUGCCCUUGACUUUGGGAUAACUUCAGGAAACUGGGGCUAAUACCGGAUAGGAGCUCCUGCUGCAUGGUGGGGGUUGGAAAGUUUCGGCGGUUGGGGAUGGACUCGCGGCUUAUCAGCUUGUUGGUGGGGUAGUGGCUUACCAAGGCUUUGACGGGUAGCCGGCCUGAGAGGGUGACCGGACACAUUGGGACUGAGAAACGGCCCAGACUACUACGGGAGGAAGCAGUGGGGAAUAUUGCACAAUGGGAGGAAGCAUGAUGCAGCAAGGCAGCGUGCGGGAUGACGGCCUUCGGGUUGUAAAAAGCUUUCGAAUGUGACGAAGCGUGAGUGACGGUAAUGGGUAAAGAAGCACCGGCUAACUACGUG